Molecule: non-coding RNA, 73 nt
Organism: Trichonephila inaurata madagascariensis
Lineage: Eukaryota; Metazoa; Arthropoda; Arachnida; Araneae; Nephilidae
Source: the annotation of a GenBank genome assembly
GUUCCUGUAGUGCAGUGGAUAGCACGAUGGACAUCUAAUCCAUAGGUCAUAGGUUCGAAUCUCAUCUGGAUUG